Molecule: ribosomal RNA, 497 nt
Filed under: uncultured bacterium
Lineage: Bacteria
Description: partial 16S ribosomal RNA
Rfam family: Bacterial small subunit ribosomal RNA
Source: RNAcentral
GAUGAACGCUGGCGGCGUGCCUAAUACAUGCAAGUCGAGCGAACAGACGAGGAGCUUGCUCCUCUGACGUUAGCGGCGGACGGGUGAGUAACACGUGGAUAACCUACCUAUAAGACUGGGAUAACUUCGGGAAACCGGAGCUAAUACCGGAUAAUAUAUUGAACCGCAUGGUUCAAUAGUGAAAGACGGUUUUGCUGUCACUUAUAGAUGGAUCCGCGCCGCAUUAGCUAGUUGGUAAGGUAACGGCUUACCAAGGCAACGAUGCGUAGCCGACCUGAGAGGGUGAUCGGCCACACGGGAACUGAGACACGGUCCAGACUCCUACGGGAGGCAGCAGAAGGGAAUCUUCCGCAAUGGGCGAAAGCCUGACGGAGCAACGCCGCGUGAGUGAUGAAGGUCUUCGGAUCGUAAAACUCUGUUAUUAGGGAAGAACAAAUGUGUAAGUAACUAUGCACGUCUUGACGGUACCUAAUCAGAAAGCCACGGCUAACUACGUG